RNAcentral lists this transfer RNA (72 nucleotides) under Cavia porcellus (domestic guinea pig). It matches the Rfam family "tRNA". From Rfam's summary of the family: Transfer RNA (tRNA) molecules are approximately 80 nucleotides in length. Their secondary structure includes four short double-helical elements and three loops (D, anti-codon, and T loops). Lineage: Eukaryota; Metazoa; Chordata; Mammalia; Rodentia; Caviidae. The record is from Rfam by way of RNAcentral.
GGGGAUAGAGCUCAGUGGUGGUGUGUCCGCCUGACAAGUGGGAGGUCCUGAGUUUGAUUCCUGGUACCCCCC